AUACGGAGGGUGCAAGCGUUAUUCGGAAUCACUGGGCAUAAAGAGCACGUAGGCGGGUUGGCAAGUCAGAUGUGAAAUCCUACAGCUUAACUGUAGAACUGCAUUUGAAACUGCUAACCUAGAGUAUGGGAGGGGGAGAUGGAAUUAGUGGUGUAGGGGUAAAAUCCGUAGAUAUCACUAGGAAUACCGAAAGCGAAGGCGAUCUCCUGGAACAUAACUGACGCUCAGGCGUGAAAGCGUGGGGAGCAAACAGGAUUAGAAACCCUGGUAGUCC
RNAcentral lists this ribosomal RNA (274 nucleotides) under uncultured bacterium. Its description in RNAcentral is "partial 16S ribosomal RNA". It matches the Rfam family "Bacterial small subunit ribosomal RNA", at positions 523 to 796 of the family's 1533-position model. The record is from RNAcentral.